This 58-nucleotide transfer RNA is filed under the name Crypturopus tuberculatus. RNAcentral's name for it is "tRNA-Gln". Lineage: Eukaryota; Metazoa; Arthropoda; Malacostraca; Amphipoda; Micruropodidae. The record is from RNAcentral.
UUUAUCUUAGUGUAAAGAGCACAUAAAUUUUUGGUGUUUAAGGUCAAAUGAGAUAACU